RNAcentral lists this long non-coding RNA (2428 nucleotides) under Bos taurus (domestic cattle). Its description in RNAcentral is "long non-coding RNA NONBTAT027798". Lineage: Eukaryota; Metazoa; Chordata; Mammalia; Artiodactyla; Bovidae. The record is from RNAcentral.
CCCUUCCUUUCCUGCCUCCCCCCAUCUCCACCUUGACAAUCAUAUUUCCCAAGGUCCAAGCUCACUCUCAAGGGGCAACUGAUUCUUAUUUUUGGAAGAUUUCUUAUAAUUUCUGUUUUCUGGUCCAGCUCACAGCCAACAGGCAGGCACAGGGAUCAGAGGGAGAAAUAAGUCCUUUAAUCUCAAUAGCACCCGGGGGGGAGCCACUAGGGCAAGCAGGCGAACUCAAAACUAAAAAUCAGAUCCGUGUCAGAGUGGGUCACAACUAAGAACAUGACAGUGCAGAACAAAGUCAUUCCUGAGAAUGGAGUUUCUAACAGUUCAUGGCUGUCCCCUCUCCCCCAUGCAUGCUUCACUGACCUAUGAAGUGAAGUUAAUUAAUUUUAUUUUGAAUUUUUGCUAAGAGCUCAUUGUCCAUGAUGAGGGUGUACAUGUCAUUUACUGUCUCAGGAAAGUGCUCUUGUCCAGUGACUGUAAACCCAUCCCUUGCCAGUCCUCCACUCUUCUCUGUGAAAGACAGCCAACCCUGAGAUGCAUCAGUGCUACUCGGCAAAGCUGUGACUCCUCUCUUCUUUGGAACAUCCAGCAGGGCUGCUUAGGGGAAUAAACUGGGUGAGGAAGGUUGUCCGGGUCUUGAAAGUCAGCAGAAGAGUUUGGUUUGUCAGUGGAUGGAAAUGUAGGUUCUUGAACAGAAGAGAGGAGCUAUGAAAAGACGGAGGGCUCCGUGGAGAAACUGGACCUGGGCUGUAAAUUGGAUUUAGGCAGGCAUGGCCUCAGGCCAGGCUCACAGGAGCAGAGAGAAUGAACAGUGAAUACACCUAUUGUGUGGGCUCCCAGUAGGUGGCGCUAUUGGUAAAGAACCCGCCUGCCAAUGCAGGAAACCUAAGAGACAGGUUCGAUCCCUGGGUUGGGAAGAUCCCCUGAAAAAGGAAUAGCAACCCACCGCAGUAUUCUUGCCUGGAGAAUCCCCAUGGACGGAGGAGCCUGGUGGGCUGCAGUCCAUAGGGUUGCACAGAGUUGGACAUGACUGAAGCGACUUAGCACACACACACACCUACUGUGCACCCACCUGCCCUUUGCUCAGAUGGAAAAGUGGAAAUCCCUUCAGAAUAUGAUUUCACUUUUCUUCUGCUGGAUGCUGUGGCCUAAAGAUGGAAACGCCAAGGUAGGUUGUGGUCAUGACCUCUGCCCUGGAAGAGUCCGCAAAGGCGACUGAGGAGGCCUGGAGGACAUGGCCUGUCCAGAGGCCCUGGGGCCAGCAGCCCAGGGGGAACAGAAGCAAAGUCAGGAGACCUCAUUUACUCAGGUGCUAAGAAAGGCUCACCUUUCAAAGCCCUCCAGUUGCUUUUACAUUUUAACAAGGAGGGCAGAGUUGACAAAUCAUUGAGCAGGCACUAAUCAUUUUGUGGCUCAUGUAUCUCCCCAGCGAAUACUUUUCAACACAAGCGUUUACAUUUGCAGAGAAUAAAGACUUGUAAAAAGACUGUUGGAGUUUAUGGCUGCAGGAAACCGGCUCCCAGUUUGCUCUGCUGACAAGUUUAUAAGGCCAAGGAAGUUCAUAAGAGCACCGGCCUGAAUAAGCAGAACCCGUUCACCUUAACACAGUCGGGAUCUACUCAUCAAGGAACCAAGAGCAGAGGGGAUCUUGUUAUUUUGGUUGCAUUUGGGAUUAGAAGCUAAGUCAAUACAUAUUAAAAGUAUGAAAAGGCCUGGUUUUUAAAUAACUGCCAUGGAGAUAGGAAGGAAGGCAGAAAGCAAGGGUCCUGGAGCCUGGGAAUGUUCCCUCAGCCCAUGCAUGUCUUUACAGGGCAGGUUUACACACCUGUGAGAGUUGCUCUGGGAAGAACAUUUGGCCCCCAAACCAGGAAAGCCAGGAUUUCAAUCCUGGUUCUACCAUUGUGAAUAAGUUCUCUAACCCCUUGAGCCCCUGUUAUCAUGCCUCUAAAAUGGAGAUGAAAAUAAUAUGUGCUCCCAGGAACAUAUGUAAAGCUCCUAGCCCAGAGCCAGGUCCUAGUAACUUCUCUCCACAAGUUAAGUUCUCUGCUUUCCACUUCAGAGCCCCAAGCUGCUCCCACAUCCAAGUAGCCUGGAGCCUAGACUCCACAGCUCAAGAUUCGUGUCUUGUUGUUAAUCGUGUCUUGUUGUUAAACCUUGGGUUGUCCGUCCUGUCUGAAGUUUUUAGAGAGCCCUUCCCCUCACUGGAAAAAUGAGGUCCAAAGGAUAAGUUAAGAAAAUACCCUGAAUAUUUUAACCCUGAAACCGUGUAAUCAUCAGUUAAUCCAUUUCACCUGCAACCCGUCUUCACACAUCAAGGUGGUUUUAAUUGUUGCUACAAAACUUGCAUGUCCUCCAAGAAGUGUGGAGCCUAAACAAGGUUUGCCCAAGAGUUGUCUUCCAGAAACUCGUCUUCACCUGUGUCUAGUUGGAG